Molecule: ribosomal RNA, 615 nt
Filed under: Pseudomonas veronii
Lineage: Bacteria; Pseudomonadati; Pseudomonadota; Gammaproteobacteria; Pseudomonadales; Pseudomonadaceae
Description: bacterial SSU rRNA
Rfam family: Bacterial small subunit ribosomal RNA
Source: RNAcentral
GCAAGUCGAGCGGUAGAGAGAAGCUUGCUUCUCUUGAGAGCGGCGGACGGGUGAGUAAUGCCUAGGAAUCUGCCUGGUAGUGGGGGAUAACGUUCGGAAACGGACGCUAAUACCGCAUACGUCCUACGGGAGAAAGCAGGGGACCUUCGGGCCUUGCGCUAUCAGAUGAGCCUAGGUCGGAUUAGCUAGUUGGUGAGGUAAUGGCUCACCAAGGCGACGAUCCGUAACUGGUCUGAGAGGAUGAUCAGUCACACUGGAACUGAGACACGGUCCAGACUCCUACGGGAGGCAGCAGUGGGGAAUAUUGGACAAUGGGCGAAAGCCUGAUCCAGCCAUGCCGCGUGUGUGAAGAAGGUCUUCGGAUUGUAAAGCACUUUAAGUUGGGAGGAAGGGCAGUUACCUAAUACGUAAUUGUUUUGACGUUACCGACAGAAUAAGCACCGGCUAACUCUGUGCCAGCAGCCGCGGUAAUACAGAGGGUGCAAGCGUUAAUCGGAAUUACUGGGCGUAAAGCGCGCGUAGGUGGUUAGUUAAGUUGGAUGUGAAAUCCCCGGGCUCAACCUGGGAACUGCAUUCAAAACUGACUGACUAGAGUAUGGUAGAGGGUGGUGGAAU